CUUGUACAAUGGGCUGAUCGCGGAAAUGACUUCCGCGAUGUUCUGCUGGAAGUAGUCGUCUUCGUAGGCUUCUCUCAUGUGGUCCCCAGCGUCGGCGAACCCUGAUAAAUAGGGAGGACCUACAGCUUCGUGCCAAGACCUCCAAAAGUGUAGCAACUCUUCGUAGUCUCUCGACUGGGCCAUAACUCGAUUGAUCUCUAAAUAAAUGAGAAGGGGCAAAGCCUGGUCCUCAUGUAGAGCUCCUUCAUCUCGACUAUCAAGUGAUGGAUCUGAAAUCGUUAAGAACUGAAUUCUAUCUUUAAGCAUCGGGUCAGAGGAAGUAGGAGGCUCCUUCGUCUUACCUCGUUGAACUUGUCGUCAGUAAGUGCACUUCUUCCUUUGACUGCUAUCAUUUUCAGCUGCCUUCUUGUCAAAGGAUCCGGGACCCUGCUCCAGGCGAAGGUGACCGCCUUCCUCCAGGAUGCUCGGUCGAAUUUUAGCUUAAAUGUUUGCUCCUCCAACUAUGGAAAGGAUUUCACGGAAUUAUUUUACUGUCAAGUACCUCUGUAUACCUCCUAGUUGACUAAAGUUUGGCAUUUCAUCGAAUUACCAUUUUCCGACGAUUAUAGUCGGUGAUGUUGGUCGCGAAGUUCCAUUGUGCCGUCAUGACUCUGUUGCACAUUAUUGAAGCUUCGCGAUCGUAUUCUCGAAGGAAUUGAAGCGCUUCGCCCAGGUUCACGUUGAGGCCCUGAAAAUAAUUACAAAUACCUCUAAAAUAAUUAGAUUAAUUAUAUUGGCAUAUUUACCUAUAUUAAAUGAAAAGGAAAAACGUGGGUGCGCGUAAACGGAACAUGGUGCAACAAAAUACUGGUGUGUAGAUUUGGGAUCUCCUGGGACGCUAAGCUGGGACAUUAGAAUUGCAAAUACCUUCGGUGUAGAACAAUGAACGUUUGCCAAGCACCUCUGCAGUUGAAGAGAGCUUAUCGAAUUGUAUCAUCUUCGGGGAAGACCGUUAAGGGAAACAGAAAAGGGUACCAAUUGCGUCGCCGAGACGUACGUAGGCUUUUUAGACUUACCUCCAAAUAUCGAGCGUGGUUCCCGACAACGACGAAGAGAAUCGCCAGGACUCCUAUUUCUCUGGCAAUUCGUGUCUUUGUCAUCGUUCAACAAAUGUCCAUCAACAAUAAUGUGAGAAUUCCCGACUAAAGAGGCGGAGAACUUCGACUUUCCGUGUACAUCUCGCGGAUUCCUUAAACGGGUCUUAACUUUCCCGAUUUAUUCCACUAUUAUUGGCUCCACAUCCCGGGGCCUGAAACAGUGAAUUAAAUCAGCCGCGGUCACGGUGUUUUAAAUCAUUCACGACAGUGUACAGUUACACAGGUCGAACAAAUCCUGCGUCGAAGACCGGAAGCGGGUCAGAUCGUUCGGUGAUGCAUGGGCGAGCGGACGAUCCCAUUUCGGCGUUAAAAUCUCGGUGAAAUUUCAUCCUAUCCCAAUGUGGCCAAUGGUACCCACAAACUACGUGUAUGCACGGUCAGAGAACGAAAGCAAAAGAGAAACUUACGAAUUUUUCGAUAUUUUAGACGGUUCCGAAAUUUCGGAAACGCUCGGAUGAGCGCGGCGGCGCCUCCUUACGAGCGGCCAGUCUCGGAGGUUCCUCGGUUCCUUCGACCUUUUGGAGACCCUUUCAGACUCUCUAACGGGAGACCCGUUACUCGCGGACUGGGCAGAGGCGAACUGAAUUGCACGAGAGGUACACACGGUGUUCCGGGAUGAGUGUGCCGAGCAAAAACCAGAGGAAGGGACAGGCAUCGCCGGUGCGUGAAGCGUGACCACCUAACGCGCGCCGGCACACGCCAAAAUAUCUUCUACGCCUGCGAUGGCUAUCGUCUUCGGGAACGGUGACCGAUCCUCCGCUUUUCCGAAUUCCUGCUUUCACGAAAGUGCCGGGGAAAAAGAAGGGUCCAUUCGUCGGUUAUGGCUUCUUGUGAGAAUAUUAACACGAGAUAUUACGUGACGGUAUUUUGAGAGUUUAAUUCAGCAUCUUCGA
This is a long non-coding RNA of Orussus abietinus, 2029 nucleotides long. RefSeq lists it as uncharacterized. The transcript is spliced from 4 exons. The record is from RefSeq and is a predicted model, not a curated record. NCBI's taxonomy places the organism in Eukaryota, Metazoa, Arthropoda, Insecta, Hymenoptera, Orussidae.